RNAcentral lists this ribosomal RNA (229 nucleotides) under uncultured bacterium. Its description in RNAcentral is "partial 16S ribosomal RNA". It matches the Rfam family "Bacterial small subunit ribosomal RNA", at positions 568 to 796 of the family's 1533-position model. The record is from RNAcentral.
UGCGCAGGCGGCUUAUUAAGUCAGUGGUGAAAUCUCUCGGCUCAACCGAGAAACUGCCAUUGAAACUGAUAAGCUUGAGUGUAGUUGUAGUAGGCGGAAUAUAGCAUGUAGCGGUGAAAUGCUUAGAUAUGCUAUAGAACACCGAUCGCGAAAACAGCUUACUAAACUAUCACUGACGCUCAUGCACGAAAGCGUGGGGAGCAAACAGGAUUAGAUACCCUGGUAGUCC